RNAcentral lists this ribosomal RNA (305 nucleotides) under uncultured bacterium. Its description in RNAcentral is "bacterial SSU rRNA". It matches the Rfam family "Bacterial small subunit ribosomal RNA", at positions 333 to 654 of the family's 1533-position model. The record is from RNAcentral.
UGUGUCCUACGGGAGGCAGCAGUGGGGGAUAUUGCACAAUGGGGGAAACCCUGAUGCAGCGACGCCGCGUGAGUGAAGAAGUAUUUCGGUACGUAAAGCUCUAUCAGCAGGGAAGAAAAAUGGCGGUACCUGACUAAGAAGCCCCGGCUAACUACGUGCCAGCAGCCGCGGUAAUACGUAGGGGGCAAGCGUUAUCCGGAUUUACUGGGUGUAAAGGGAGCGUAGACGGUGCGCCAAGUCUGGAGUGAAAUUCCGCAGCUUAACUGCGGAACUGCUUUGGAAACUGGCGAACUAGAGUGCGGGAG